This 217-nucleotide unclassified non-coding RNA is filed under the name uncultured Tomentella. RNAcentral describes it as "partial internal transcribed spacer 2". The record is from RNAcentral. Lineage: Eukaryota; Fungi; Basidiomycota; Agaricomycetes; Thelephorales; Thelephoraceae.
ACACCUCAACUCUCGUGGUUCGCCAUGAUGAGCUUGGACUUUGGGGGUCUUGCUGGCCUACGGUCGGCUCCUCUUAAACGAAUCAGCUUGCCAGUGUUUGGUGGCAUCACAGGUGUGAUAACUAUCUACGCUUGUGGUUUUCCGCCAGGUAACCUUCAGUGAUGGAGGUUCGCUGGGGCUCACAAAUGUCUCUCCUCAGCGAGGACAGCUUUUUAAC